CGCGUAGGCGGUUUUGUAAGUCGAAUGUGAAAGCCCCGGGCUUAACCUGGGAAUUGCGUUCGAUACUGCGAAACUAGAGUACGGUAGAGGGAAGUGGAAUUCCGGGUGUAGCGGUGAAAUGCGUAGAUAUCCGGAGGAACACCAGUGGCGAAGGCGACUUCCUGGGCCAGUACUGACGCUGAGGUGCGAAAGCGUGGGGAGCAAACG
Molecule: ribosomal RNA, 207 nt
Filed under: uncultured bacterium
Lineage: Bacteria
Description: partial 16S ribosomal RNA
Rfam family: Bacterial small subunit ribosomal RNA
Source: RNAcentral